UUAACUCAAAUUUGUAUGGAGCUGGAAAGUUUAGCUACGUCUGCCGCUAGGGGCGCUGUUCCAAUUGCAUACUAAUUUGAGUGA
Molecule: microRNA precursor, 84 nt
Filed under: Bombyx mori (domestic silkworm)
Lineage: Eukaryota; Metazoa; Arthropoda; Insecta; Lepidoptera; Bombycidae
Description: mir-2807 microRNA precursor family
Rfam family: mir-2807 microRNA precursor family
Source: Rfam by way of RNAcentral